GGACGAACGCUGGCGGCGCGCCUAACACAUGCAAGUCGAACGAGCGAGAGAGAGCUUGCUUUCUCGAGCGAGUGGCGAACGGGUGAGUAACGCGUGAGGAACCUGCCUCAAAGAGGGGGACAACAGUUGGAAACGACUGCUAAUACCGCAUAAGCCCACGGCUCGGCAUCGAGCAGGGGGAAAAGGAGCAAUCCGCUUUGAGAUGGCCUCGCGUCCGAUUAGCUAGUUGGUGAGGUAACGGCCCACCAAGGCGACGAUCGGUAGCCGGACUGAGAGGUUGAACGGCCACAGUGGGACUGAGACACGGCCCAGACUCCUACGGGAGGCAGCAGUGGGGAAUAUUGCACAAUGGGGGAAACCCUGAUGCAGCGACGCCGCGUGGAGGAAGAAGGUCUUCGGAUUGUAAACUCCUGUUGUGGGGGAAGAUAAUGACGGUACCCAACAAGGAAGAGACGGCUAACUACGUG
RNAcentral lists this ribosomal RNA (467 nucleotides) under uncultured bacterium. RNAcentral describes it as "partial 16S ribosomal RNA". It matches the Rfam family "Bacterial small subunit ribosomal RNA", at positions 27 to 507 of the family's 1533-position model. The record is from RNAcentral.